Molecule: ribosomal RNA, 460 nt
Filed under: uncultured bacterium
Lineage: Bacteria
Description: partial 16S ribosomal RNA
Rfam family: Bacterial small subunit ribosomal RNA
Source: RNAcentral
CCUACGGGCGACAGCAGUGAGGAAUAUUGGUCAAUGGACGAGAGUCUGAACCAGCCAAGUAGCGUGAAGGAUGACUGCCCUAUGGGUUGUAAACUUCUUUUAUAUGGGAAUAAAACGUUCCACGUGUGGGAUUUUGUAUGUACCAUAUGAAUAAGGAUCGGCUAACUCCGUGCCAGCAGCCGCGGUAAUACGGAGGAUCCGAGCGUUAUCCGGAUUUAUUGGGUUUAAAGGGAGCGUAGAUGGAUUGUUAAGUCAGUUGUGAAAGUUUGCGGCUCAACCGUAAAAUUGCAGUUGAAACUGGCAGUCUUGAGUACAGUAGAGGUGGGCGGAAUUCGUGGUGUAGCGGUGAAAUGCUUAGAUAUCACGAAGAACUCCGAUUGCGAAGGCAGUUCACUGGACUGCAACUGACACUGAGGCUCGAAAGUGUGGGUAUCAAACAGGAUUAGAUACCCGAGUAGUC